UAUAAAAAGAACACACUCUUAAAGACAAAUGAUAUUUUUAAAGUGCCAGAGGUGCCCAAGAAGCCCAUCCCAGAGGAAAAGAAACCAACACCUGUUCCAAAAAAAGCAGAAGCUCCACCACCCAAAGGUACAUUAAUCUCUAACAGCACCAGGCCCAAAAGGAAAACUAACUGGUAUUAGUCAGCCUUGCUAAUCACAACUGAUACUUCAUGACAUUGAAUUUGAUGACGAUUGAUGCCUCUGUGAUCACAGAAUAGCUGCUUUUCAUGUUGUCCCAUUGUUAUGAAUAGUGUACUUAACAGUGACACUUGAACAAUUGAAUAAAUAUCUUUAAAGUGCCGAAGAAACUCGAGCCAGUUCCAGUUCCUGUAGCUCUACUUCGGGAAGAAGAAGUUCCAUUUGAAGAAGAAAUUGCUCCUGAAGAGGAAGUUCCACCUGAGGAGGAGGAAGUUCUACCUGAGGAGGAGGAAGUUCCACCUGAGGAGGAGGAAGUUCCACCUGAGGAGGAAGAAGUUCCACCUGAGGAGGAGGAAGUUCCUCCUGAAGAAGAAGUUGAACCUGAAGAAGAGCAAGUCCUUCCAGAAAUCAAACCUAAGAAGCCAGUACCUGCACGAGUGCCUGAAGUGCCUAAGAAACCUGUACCACAGAAGAAAGUCCCUGUGCCGGCUCCUAAAAAAGUGGAACCUCCACCACCCAAAGUGCCUGAGGUUAAGAAGAAAGUGCCAGAGAAGAAAGUGAUCAUUCAUAAGAAAGAGGAGGCGCCUCCUGCCACAGGUACUGCUCUUCCCAAGCGAACUAGACACUGCCAUUUCUUUCUAUCACCUGUAAAAGUCAAAGUGUCCUCUUCCAGCAUUUGUUAGGCUAACUUGUAUGUCAGUUGUCUCCGUGUUCAUGCAACUUAAAUGAUAAAAUAAUAUCUUUAAAGUGCCUGUGGUGCUUAAGAAACCUGAACCAGAAAAGAAAGUGCCUCCUCCUGGUCUUAAGAAAGCAGUGCCUCCUCCUGCCAAAGGUACAUCACCCCCAAACGGGGAUGUGUUUGCUGUACCCCAUGUUGAACUGUGAUGCUGUCCACACAGGACGUUCAACAUAAACGUUUGUCUUGUGUGAUCGGUCUGUCACUUCCAUUCACCGUUUGUGAC
RNAcentral lists this long non-coding RNA (1139 nucleotides) under Vulpes vulpes (red fox). Its description in RNAcentral is "lncRNA (ENSVVUG00000009989.1)". The record is from RNAcentral. Lineage: Eukaryota; Metazoa; Chordata; Mammalia; Carnivora; Canidae.